Long non-coding RNA from Cucurbita moschata (crookneck pumpkin), 731 nucleotides. RefSeq lists it as uncharacterized. The record is from RefSeq and is a predicted model, not a curated record. The transcript has 3 exons. Lineage: Eukaryota; Viridiplantae; Streptophyta; Magnoliopsida; Cucurbitales; Cucurbitaceae.
AAGCCUGAUCAUCAAGAAACAUAAGAUCAAGAUAUGCAGUUUAAGGAGAUGAAUGAAGUAUGUGCAAUACCUGAUGAACAGUGAGCCCAUUCAAGUGCUCUGCUAUGUGUUCUUCUGUAAUGGAACUAUUCUGCUUCCCAUAUGUUUUAGAAUCCAACUUGCUGACUGGAGGGAACUCCUAGAGAGCAACAUUUUAAAGUGAAUUACGAAUGAAAUGAGCCUCAGGGGAUCUAGUAAACAAUGUUAUGGAUAUUAAGCGUGUCGUACUUCGAGUCGACGAAUGACAACCGGGUUAACUCCAGCAAGCAUUUCUCGACCGAACUCCUCGUCUGUCCUCCAAGCUGUUUUGCUCUCUGGAAUUAGUAUAAUUUAACAUUCUAUUAGAGCAUUUCGAAAACUCGACAUCGUAGAGUUCGAUCUGAGUGAGAGCGUAGAUCAUAUUUGCAUACCUUUGAUCACAUCAGGCACGGGAAACUUCAGAAAUUGGCGGCCAUCGGAACGCAUCAGCUCCCUAAACAGCUGCCAAGGUUUUCGACCGGUUCGUCCUCGUCGCGGAUAAGGAAACCCGCUCGAGCCACCAAGAACGUGGCUCAGGCGUUUCACUUGGAAGAUAACUCUAACAAAAUCAUUUCAUGGCUUUAGAAUCAAAAUUUUGUGCACCCAAAAUGAAGAAUCUAAGCACAGACCAAAUGUUACCUUGUUGGAGAAAAAGACACGGUCGUAAGCAUAGC